GCUCCCUUCGGGGAGUGCAUAAAGUGGCGCACGGGUGAGUAACACGUAAGUAAUCUACCCUCGAGUGGGGAAUAACAACCGGAAACGGUUGCUAAUACCGCAUAAUGCAGCGGCACCGCAAGGUGACAGUUGUUAAAGGAGUAAUUCGCUUGAGGAGGAGCUUGCGGCAGAUUAGCUUGUUGGUAAGGUAACGGCUUACCAAGGCUACGAUCUGUAUCCGGUCUUAGAGGACGGUCGGACACACUGACACUGAAUAACGGGUCAGACUCCUACGGGAGGCAGCAGUCGGGAAUUUUGGGCAAUGGGCGAAAGCCUGACCCAGCAACGCCGCGUGAAGGAUGAAGUAUUUCGGUAUGUAAACUUCGAAAGAAUAGGAAGAAUAAAUGACGGUACUAUUUAUAAGCUCCGGCUAACUACGUGCCAGCAGCCGCGGUAAUACGUAGGGAGCAAGCGUUGUUCGGAUUUACUGGGCGUAAAGGGCGCGUAGGCGGCGCGGUAAGUCACUUGUGAAAUCUCUGAGCUUAACUCGGAACGGUCAAGUGAUACUGCAGUGCUAGAGUGCAGAAAGGGCAAUCGGAAUUCUUGGUGUAGCGGUGAAAUGCGUAGAUAUCAAGAGGAACACCUGAGGCGAAGGCGGGUUGCUAGGCUGACACUGACGCUGACAGCGCGAAAGCCAGGGGAGCAAACGGGAUUAGAUACCCCGGUAGUCCUGGCCCUAAACGAUGAAUACUUGGUGUCUGGAGUCUUAAUGCUCCGGGUGCCGUCGCUAACGUUUUUAGUAUUCCGCCUGGGGAGUACGCUCGCAAGAGUGAAACUC
Molecule: ribosomal RNA, 817 nt
Filed under: uncultured Bacillota bacterium
Lineage: Bacteria; Bacillati; Bacillota
Description: bacterial SSU rRNA
Rfam family: Bacterial small subunit ribosomal RNA
Source: RNAcentral